Molecule: long non-coding RNA, 2796 nt
Organism: Lutra lutra (Eurasian river otter)
Lineage: Eukaryota; Metazoa; Chordata; Mammalia; Carnivora; Mustelidae
Exons: 2
Source: RefSeq, a predicted model, not a curated record
ACUGCAGACACGGAGGGGCAGGGGCUGAGCUGCAGGAACAGAGCCCCGAACCCCUGCGGGUCACCCCCAGGUUCAGCUGCUGUAAGCCUCUAGUCAACACGCACGUGGGAAGCUGAAUCAUCAUGGACAACCUCACACCCAGACCUCAGGCCUAAUACCUUAAGCGCAAUCCAGUUCCUCGAGGCAGCGGGCAAGGCGCACAUGACCCCGGGAGUGUGCCACGGACAGGGGCAGCCGGCCCAGGGAGUCGGGAAUGCUCAGCGCCUGCCGGUUCCAGCGGAAGAGGAGCACUGCGGCUUCCAGGUGGCCCAGGGCACAGGCCCACAUCUGCAAGAGGGUGGGGGGCAGGAGGUGAGGCCUGGGGCCUCCCUGGCUGGGUCUCCCCUGCGAGAACCAUCCCCAGGCAGCGGCCCGUAUGCGCUCACCAGCGGGGUGCAGGAGAAGUGGUCCACAUUGAGCGGGUCAGCCUCUUGCUCCAAGUCCAAACUCCCUGUCCCCACGCUCCUGGAAGAUUUGGGACAGGGACACCGGAGCCUGGUCAGGGUAAGGGCAGGUGCUGUGGGAGCAUACUGUCCAGAAGCACCAAGAUGGGCGGGGGGUGCUUGCAGACACACAGGGCAGGAGGAGCCCCAACACUCAGCGUCCCAAGUCAUGGGGGGCGGGCGCAGUGUUGAAAUUCCUGGAGUGCGAGCCCUCUCCCGGCCCUUCUAACCACAGUGACCGCAGCUCCCUCCUGGCGGGGCUCCAGGUGGUCUGGGCCCUCCCUAGUCCCCUCCCUGGGGCCCUGCUCACCGCCACUGGCUCAGUGUCUCGAUGAGGCGUGCGUAGCCCUGGGCAGCGGCCAGGUGUAGGAGGCUCAUGCCUCGGAAGGGGUUCCCGUGGGCCAGGCGCUCAGGGCCCCUCUGGGUGGACCGUGGGAUCAUGCUCUCUACCAGGACAACCACCCGAGCCUCAAAGCCAGGCCCCUGGCCUUCAUCCUGUGGAGAAUACCCCUUUAGGCAGGGACCUGAGCAUCCGGCCCCUGGCUCCGCAUGGCCUCGGCCGCCCCCACCUGUCCUCUCCCCUGCCACCCAGGCCUCCCCCUCUGGCUCCUGACGUCCCCCACGUCAUGGCUUGCUUCCUCCAGCAGCUGUGGCAGCCGGACCUCACACGGCUUUGCCUGCGUGUGCCCUUCAUGCCGGCUGCGGUCAGUGCCAUGCCCACAGACGGCCCAGCCACAUCCUCAGAGACCCGGGCCCACAGGCUCCCUGUCCCCUCCCCCACCCGCUUCGGAUCAGGAAUAGUCUGUCAUCUGCGGCCUGUCAUGCCAACAGGACGCCCAGAAUAGCUGCUCCUGCCACGGGGUAACGUCAGGGAGGAGGAGGCUGGGGGCAGGAGGGACAAGCAAGUCCCACAGCAGAGCCAUUUGCUCCAGUGGGACCCUCCUCGGCUUCCUGCCCAGACCUCCCUCCCUGCGGAGGUACCUGGAUCGGAGGCACGUCAGGACCGCGGCAGGGAGCCUGCCCAGCUGCUGCCAUGUCCGCCAUCCGCUUCUCCAUCUGCUCCAGCCGCUCCAGAAUGGACAUUCGGAACUGGUUGUCUGAGGGAAAGAGGUACGGGAGGCUGAGAGGCGGGUGGGCGCGGGGGACGCCCAUGCCACCAUGGCUAGACCCGGGAGGUGAAGACGAGGCACCAGGGUCUUUCUUCACCAGAACAACAGCCCCUGGGCCCCUUGCCCUGUGUACAGCCCAGCCAGGAUGCAGGCCUAAAACAAGGACCUUUAGUGCUACCCGCCAACUGGGAACCAGAAUCUGGAACCAAAACCCCGUUCUUCAAGACACAGACGGGGCAGGAGUCCCAGCGUGCAACCCCGAGCUGCCCCAGGUCACUCACGCGUGCACACGCUCACACGCACACACACCCAGCCCUUCAGGUGAGCCCUCCAUCAGCUCUCCCUGCCCCAGAGCGAUCUCUGUCCCCCGCGCUGCACUGAAGGACUCCGGGGCCCCUCCUGUCUAUCGUCCACUGCCCAAGUGAGCUCGGGGCUUGUGAUUUAAGCACCACCCCCUCCUCCCGGCCCCCCGCAGCUGUCCACAGAGAGCAUGGUGGGGCUUGGAAGUGACAAAGAUGGAUCGCCGUGUCCAUUCCUCCUCUUUCUCCCCCACCCGGGGCACAAGAAUGCACACACGCACGCACGCACACCCCAAGCCAUAUCUGUUCCCUCCUGAGAUCAUGUGAGGACAAGGAGGGGAGGCGGGAGGGGAUCAGAGCCACAGGAAAACAGGCACCCAACAGGGUGGAGGUUGGAGAUGUCCUCCUUCUCAGGAAAGGGCUCAGGCCUGGAGCUGAUGGCGUGGAGGAGGGUGGAUGGUGAGGUAAAGGGCAGAAGGGACAGGAGAGGAGGAAGAUGUGGCAAACGAGCACCAGGAAGGAGGGGGGCAGGUGAGGGCGUGGGGCACAGGGAAGCGUGGGGAGGGAGGAGACCCCCCAGGGGGAGACAGGGUGGUGGGGCAGGGCUUUAGCAGGGGCCCCCCAAGGCUGAGACAGCAGGGGGCAAGGGCCCCUGAGGCAAAGCAGUCCUGUGACAGAGGGGGGGCGGCAGGCGAGUGUGGCAGGGGUGGCAGCGCAACUGAGAGAAACCCAGAGAAGGGGGACCCCCGGCUGGACACGGGGGCCACAGGGACACCGCACUGAGAGCCACGGGAGGGAGAACCAGGGCAGGAACACGCGGGUCUCUGUGUAAGUACGUGUGUGCACACGUGUGUGUUUCUACAGGAAAGCGUGUUAGAGCGUAUUAAAGGUGAACAUCGCAGGGCA